Small nucleolar RNA from Pipistrellus kuhlii (Kuhl's pipistrelle), 148 nucleotides. RefSeq annotates it as small nucleolar RNA SNORA20. The transcript has a single exon. NCBI's taxonomy places the organism in Eukaryota, Metazoa, Chordata, Mammalia, Chiroptera, Vespertilionidae. The record is from RefSeq and is a predicted model, not a curated record.
CUUCCCAUUUAUUUGUUAUCAUAGUCUUUUCAAUGAUCUGAGCAGUUAUACGCAUGGAAUAAAAUAACAUUGGGCCAUUGUAAAUUGACAUUGUAAAUUGAAAUGGAAUAAUCGUUUCAUCUCUUCUGCAUGCAUGGUGUAGAUAUUG